This 2368-nucleotide long non-coding RNA is filed under the name Medicago truncatula (barrel medic). RNAcentral's name for it is "long non-coding RNA (MTRU_LNC006557)". The record is from RNAcentral. Lineage: Eukaryota; Viridiplantae; Streptophyta; Magnoliopsida; Fabales; Fabaceae.
CUUUAAAGUCUGAACCCUCUGAAACUGCUCAGGAAAAUCAAUAUUCAUUUCCUUCAUCUUCGCAUGAGUUUACAUAUGAAAAUGCCCAACAACCAGAAGUUGCAUAUCCUCAUUCACAAACAAGCUCACAGAUCCAGAACCUAUCUCCCUUCUCCAGUGUAAUGGUAAUGCAUUGUUUUGUUAAAUUUUGGAUGUGCAGCAAUAUAUAUUUUAAAGCUGGUGUCUUAGUUUGGCUCUUUAAUUAACUAGAAUUGGUUCAUAAAUGUUAUAACUAGAGUUUGGAGAUCCUCUCGUUGGUGCUAUAUUACCUACACAUUCUUAAGAGAGUAAAAUGAUGUUUAUUCUCUGCAAAAAGUCUUUUUGAUAGUAGAAAACUGGCUUACCUUAAGAAAUAUAAUUUUCAAGACUGUCUUGUUUUGUAUCUUCAAUUAAUUAUAAUCAGUUCUGGAAUGAACCAAUGUGAGAUCGCGUAAUAAGCUUAGGGGAUGGUUAUGUGAUAUAUAUGAUUGGAUUGAGAAUUUGUUAAAAUUUCCUUUUCCGGGAUGUUUCAAUCUUUUGGAUUUAGGUGAUGUGGGUUUUCUACUAAUUAAAAUUUUGCUGCCCAGUUGCUCUACUAAUUAAACCUGUAUACAACCCCUUUCCUUAAUGUAAUACACAAUACUUUUGUCCCAUUACAUUAUAUUAUGGUGCAGAGAUCACAACUGUCGUGUGGUAAUAACAUAGGAUAUUACUGUAGUUUCUUUUAUCUGCAAAUGUUGAUAUUAUCUGUUGAUAUUACUAUCUACAUCUAACUUAAUAUUGCUUUAUAGGCAUAUACAAAUUCUUUGCCCAAUGCUCUGUUGGCUUCAACGGUUCAAACACCAAGGGAGGAUAUCCCAUACUCACCCUUCCCUGUUACACAAGCAAUGCCUGCAAAAUAUAGCAACAUGGCUUCUUCAAUUGGUGGUUCCACUAUAAACAUGUCAGAGGUAUACUUCUUGCUGACUUAUAUAAGUUCAUCUAUUAACAAGCUAUAGAAAGAGGUUAAGUUAUAAAUAGUUUUAAUAUAACGGCUUGCAGUAUUUGUCUAUUCUUGGCCAAAGUAAUGUUUUGGAGUUCAUGUGUACAUUAAAGUGCUGCAGUUACAUGCCGAUAAUUCUGGUUAACAAUUGCUAAAAACUAGUGACAACCACAUCCGCUAAGGGAAUGCAAAUUUCUCCCUAGAUUUUUGUGUAGCUCAGGGUUGGUUUUCUAUGUGUGUUACCUAUGAUGCACAAAUACGAUACGGGGAUGCGUCAUUUAUUGGAAAAUAUAAGUUAUGAUAUGUUUUGUAUACGUGUAUAAAAAAAUAAAAAUUAUGAAUAAUUUAUUAACUGAUAUAUUUUUAAAAAAAAGAUCAAGUGUUUGUCUAUGUUUAUGUAGUUUCAUAUAUAAAAAUAUCAAAUAUCACAUAUAAACUAAAUCAGUUAUAAUAUUAUAAUUAAAAAUCGUUUAUAAAUAUAAUUAAUUAAUAAAUCUGUGCUCACAAUGUGUUAUAAUAGUUUGAUUUAUUACUAAAUGAGAAAUCAUAUAUACAAUCAAAAUAAUUAAAAUAGAAUUACGAGGGUAGCAUCUCUAGGGGAAAUGAAACAUUUUUUUAAGGGGAAAUGAAACUUGAUAUGAGGAAAUGACGGACGAAAGCUAAAGGAUAGAGUGGUCCAGGCAAAAAGUUUUUCUUCUUCGGUUUAACCCAACUAUAUUUUUGCAGUGAUAUGUUGUUUAAUUGCCUGAUAAAUGCUAGUCAUCUACGAGGGACAAGUCUUACAUCGUUCGAUGCCUAUAAAAUAGUGACCAAUUUUGGAAGUAUCAAUAGUCUCUGUGUCUGUGUAAAAUCAUAUUAUCUUUUAUCCCAAAUUUGUUACGGGUAUUCGAAAUACCAAAGUGAAUCAAAGGAAUGUUCUUAGAGGAGGUUAUGGAUACAUCUGUACCAACAUUGUUUGCUAUUAAUUACUCUUAUGUGUUUGUGUAUAUGUAGAAUUAUAUCAGUUUUAACCCCCUUUUUUUAAGGGUACACCAAACUUACUCUAAUAAAGAUGAUUAUAAUUGACAGAGUUUAGUUUUAAGUUGGUGUCUUGAUUUUAUUGGUUCAGUCUUUUGAUUAUUUUUUUUGUCAAGAUGCAGGCUUUAAGGGCAAACAACAUUUCGACGCCUCAAGCUCAACCUAAUCAACAAUCUUUGCCUGGUGCUGGUGUUGCCACUGGACCUUCACUUCCUCAACACCUUGCUGUGCAUCCGUACUCACAGCUGGGACCUUUUGCUAAUAUGAUAAGUUAUCCGUUCAUGCCUCAGAGCUAUACCUACAUGCCAUCGGCAUUUCAGCAGGCUUUUGCUGGAAAUAGCACCUACCACC